Small nuclear RNA from Otolemur garnettii (small-eared galago), 106 nucleotides. The record is from Ensembl. NCBI's taxonomy places the organism in Eukaryota, Metazoa, Chordata, Mammalia, Primates, Galagidae.
GUGCUUGCUUCUGUAGCACAUAUACUAAAAUUUGAAUGAUACAGAGAAGAUUAACAUGGCCCCUGUGCAAGGAUGACAUGCAAAUUCUUGAAUGUUCCAUAUUUUU